AGUGAACGCUGGCGGUAGGCCUAACACAUGCAAGUCGAACGGCAGCACAGUAAGAGCUUGCUCUUACGGGUGGCGAGUGGCGGACGGGUGAGGAAUACAUCGGAAUCUACUUUUUCGUGGGGGAUAACGUAGGGAAACUUACGCUAAUACCGCAUACGACCUACGGGUGAAAGCAGGGGAUCUUCGGACCUUGAGCGACUGAAUGAGCCGAUGUCGGAUUAGCUAGUUGGCGGGGUAAAGGCCCACCAAGGCGACGAUCCGUAGCUGGUCUGAGAGGAUGAUCAGCCACACUGGAACUGAGACACGGUCCAGACUCCUACGGGAGGCAGCAGGGGGGAAUAUUGGACAAUGGGCGCAAGCCUGAUCCAGCCAGACCGCGUGGGUGAAGAAGGCCUUCGGGUUGUAAAGCCCUUUUGUUGGGAAAGAAAAGCAGCAGGUUAAUACCCCGCUGUUCGGACGGUACCCAAAGAAUAAGCACCGGCUAACUUCGU
Molecule: ribosomal RNA, 491 nt
Filed under: uncultured bacterium
Lineage: Bacteria
Description: partial 16S ribosomal RNA
Rfam family: Bacterial small subunit ribosomal RNA
Source: RNAcentral